Molecule: ribosomal RNA, 265 nt
Filed under: uncultured archaeon
Lineage: Archaea
Description: partial 16S ribosomal RNA
Rfam family: Archaeal small subunit ribosomal RNA
Source: RNAcentral
AGACGUCUACAUUAGAUACCCGCGUAGUCCCAGCCGUAAACUAUGCGCGUUAGGUGUAUCGGUGACCACGAGUUACCGAGGUGCCGAAGGGAAAUCGUGAAACGCACCACCUGGGAAGUACGGUCGCAAGGCUGAAACUUAAAGGAAUUGGCGGGGGAGCACCACAACAGGUGGAGCCUGCGGUUUAAUUGGAUUCAACGCCGGACAUCUCACCGGAUAAGACAGCUGAAUGAUUGUCAAUCUGAAGGUUUUACAUGACUAGCUG